This 157-nucleotide small RNA is filed under the name Sphingopyxis granuli. Its description in RNAcentral is "ssrS". The record is from RNAcentral. Lineage: Bacteria; Pseudomonadati; Pseudomonadota; Alphaproteobacteria; Sphingomonadales; Sphingopyxidaceae.
CGGGCACUGCCCGGCACGAGCCGCUGCGAAUAUCCCUGAGGCGAUACAUCAUCCAAGGGAGCUGUCCCUGCCCGGACCCUGGUCCGACGUACAUGGCCCCCACCUGACGUUACUGGCGUCAGAGGAUUUUCCGGCAAACGACCACGGUGGUCCCGCC